GAUGAACGCUGGCGGCGUGCCUAAUGCAUGCAAGUCGAGCGAACGGACGAGAAGCUUGCUUCUCUGAUGUUAGCGGCGGACGGGUGAGUAACACGUGGAUAACCUACCUAUAAGACUGGGAUAACUUCGGGAAACCGGAUCUAAUACCGGAUGAUAUUUUGGACCGCAUGGUUCAAAAGUGAAAGACGGUCUUGCUGUCACUUAUAGAUGGAUCCGCGCUGCAUUAGCUAGUUGGUAAGGUAACGGCUUACCAAGGCAACGAUGCAUAGCCGACCUGAGAGGGUGAUCGGCCACACUGGAACUGAGACACGGUCCAGACUCCUACGGGAGGCAGCAGUAGGGAAUCUUCCGCAAUGGGCGAAGGCCUGACGGAGCAACGCCGCGUGAGUGAUGAAGGUCUUCGGAUCGUAAAACUCUGUUAUUAGGGAAGAACAUAUGUGUAAGUAACUGUGCACAUCUUGACGGUACCUAAUCAGAAAGCCACGGCUAACUACGUG
RNAcentral lists this ribosomal RNA (497 nucleotides) under uncultured bacterium. RNAcentral describes it as "partial 16S ribosomal RNA". It matches the Rfam family "Bacterial small subunit ribosomal RNA", at positions 28 to 507 of the family's 1533-position model. The record is from RNAcentral.